This 5986-nucleotide long non-coding RNA is filed under the name Panax ginseng (ginseng). RNAcentral's name for it is "long non-coding RNA (PGIN_LNC005100)". Lineage: Eukaryota; Viridiplantae; Streptophyta; Magnoliopsida; Apiales; Araliaceae. The record is from RNAcentral.
CUCUUCAUUCGCAGGAAGCAUUACUCAUUUCUUCAGAGUUAAAGAAAAGGCUACCGAUUUCCCACUGACUAUUAUGUAAGGGCUGGACCCUUGGAUGAGAAAUUCAUGGCUAAGUUAGUCCGUUUUCAAAAUAGUAUGAAGCUUUCAAUUCAAGCACCUUUUUUCUAUUCCUAUGGUACUAAGGUAGGCAAAGGUAGAUAAGUCUCUGGCCUAUGUAGCUAACUUAGUAGAUAGAUAGCAUGGAUCCCAUAGAGCUCUCAGUCUCUAGCCUAGUCUAUGGCUCAUAGUCUUCGCUUAUACUUAGAGUAGUUCACCCUCUUUAGAAGUCAAGUAGUUCCUUAGUGUUCGCUCUCAACAACUAGUACGCCCUGUUCUCAAAAGCCGAAGAGCAGCUAAACUAAACUUCACUUAAUAGGCUGGGGCUGGGGGUGGAUAAGGUUCUUUCUUGCUAUCAAUCUAUUACGGCCAGCUUUUAGAGUCUAAAAAGUAUAUGGCCACGGGAUUAAAACCUAAAGGUUCCAAACCUCGAAGUCUGUAGUUGACUCUUGAUGGAUAGAGGAUGACUCGCUUCUGCCUUCCCAACAGUCCCACCCCUUCCCAGAAUCUUGUUUCAAUCAAUCCGAUCAGGCUACGGCGCAUAUUACCAAUAAACACCGCUAUGCCUUCUUCCAAGACCGAUAUACCAAUCAAGGAGUGUUCAUUCCGUGAGUUUGUUCCAAAAGAAUCUCCGGAUUCGAUCUGUUCAGUUCGGGAAUGAAUUCUCUUUGUCAAGUUGCUUUCCCGUUCAUUGGGUUGUUUGGAACGGAUCAAAGAAUGAGAGAGAUUUCUAAUCUCGAUUUGAAGGGAGUGCAGUUCCAUUGUUCAAGAAAACGGGAUUGCAAACAGCACGGGAAAGAUUGGAUGGUCCGAAACAACAAUCAAUUGAUGAUAGGGAUCACCCAGAGGCUCAUUCCACUAUCGGCCGGUAUGGAGAAUGGAGAUUGAAAGGACUUUUAGAUGAAAGACAGAAAGCCUUACUGAUGAUUCGACGAACGAAAUAAGCUGGCGUACGACGGAGGAAGGCAACUAUUUCAAGUCAAAGCUUCUAGAAAGAAAGAAAGCAUUGGCCCAAACUUAGGACUCUUAUUCCCAAAAGUUCUGAAGGACAGGCUGGCUUGCAUGGCCUAAGCAUAACUUGGGUACUUGACAGAGCUAUAUGAAAGGUGUCUUGUGGUUGCAAAUUCGUAUAUAGAUAGAGCUCAAUUACAUCGACCCUCUCUCAUAUUACAUUGACCCUUGCCCUUUGUUGAUGGUUGUUCGUUCCAGGGGCUAGCGAUCAAGAAAUUAAGAGAUAGGGAGUCCCUACCCUAUAGUAACACCGGGAGACAGAGAACCACCAAAGAAAUAAGGUCAGGUCGGGGGCCUAACUUGAAACAUCAUCUUUGAAAUGCCUCAUUCUCUUUAUGGAUUACCUUAUUCACCUAUCACUCGAGCUUGAGUCUUCGCUUGAGCGGGUACUCGUCCCGCUUAGGAUAGAGGAUAGGAUACAUCCCCUUGGCGUCUGGGUUUCGUUGGUAGGAGGAAUCCCCAUAGCUGCUUCUGCAGUAGCCCUGUCUUCUCUGUCCGGCGAAUAUAGAGAGCUUCUUCCCUUAGCUAGAUACGGCUCUUUCGAGCAAUCAAUCUGCUUAUCGCUUCCAAAUAAGUCACUUCCAGCAAAGCAAAAAGGGGGUGGACUACACGAGUCUUAUGAAAGAGAGCCGAGGACUAUAUAAUAGCAAUUUCUGGUCGAUAAGUCAAUAGAUGUUCUCCUGGGGCAGACAGAAGAAGUUCCGAAGAUGUUCUCUGGGGCAGACAGAAGAAGUUCCGAUUCCUUCUAUCACCAUCACUUCCUGACUCGCCUGCUCAAACGAGAGUUUAAGCUCCUGCUCCUCCUCCCCGUCCCUUACUCGUCCUUUGAAAGCCAGAACAUUCACAUAGAAGAGUCUUUGUAUCACGCAUGCUCCUCGACUGAUGACAAAAUGACCUUAUAUCCUCUUCUAGGAAUUCCUACCCCUAACAAUUUGAGAUGGGAAAAGAGGAGUCCGAUCAAUGAGUCCUACGAAUAUAGGACACUUGUAUUUCUCAUUCACAAAUCCAUCUUUGUUUAUGCUACUAACUCUCAGUUUGGUCCUAUUGUUUAGAAAUGUGGAAAGGAAGGUCAGAGGGUGGGGAUUCUAGUGUUUUGGCGGAAACGCGACCGGAUGUAGUCAUGUUAGUUUUGUUUUUCUUGUGCAUGACGAGCCGGGUGAACAAAGUCACGAUCAGAAUGCAAGCAAGGUAGUUCGCUGGGUAUGUCUUUUGAUCCCAGGGGUGCUGGUUCGAGUCCAGCUCGUGACAAGACCUUUGUUUAAUAUCUCGGCGCCUCUUCUCCUUAGACGGAUGACUCUCCCAUGAUCUGAGAAAGCCUCUUUUUCCUAGUUAGGACAUUACAUUGGGAGGAGAGAUUCACCCUGACAAGAGAUCCCAUCUCUCUUAUGAUUUCUCGAGUUACAUGGAAAGAUCAAGGCUGCAUUUAGGAGUGAAAGCAGCCAAUUCUUUCUUCUCUUAUGAAAUUCACGAUCUCCCCUUGAGAACGCACAGAACAGUUACUAAAUAAUACCCUUUGGAUGUUACAUAUCUGAUACCUUUUGGUCCCUCACGGAACACUGGCUAUAUCAUCUAGCCCCAUGUCAACCAACCCAACUCCUCUUGCCGCUAUGCAUCCUAUUGGGACGCUUCAAAUUUUUGUUCUGCCAAGGUCUAAUCAUUCUGACGUAGUCUAAGUCUUCGAGGGGAAUGCCGACUGUCGAAGUUGAAGCUGAAACCGAUGAUGUUAACUAACGAUGCAGAUUCCGAAGUUGUGGCAAAAAAUCUUUCCCCUGUAGAAAGUCUCCGAACAAUCUCUGAUGAGCUGACCCUAUCUUAGACUGUCGACUUAACUGCGCCGAAUCUGGAGGUCUGCUUUGAUCCGAGUCUUCCAUGGCCUGAUCGUGCUCAUAUUGAUAUGGAGGAAUAAACCUGCCCCAAAGGCUAUGCUCUGCCAAAGCGGUGCCCCUUAAAUGUUCUCUCAUCAGAUAGAAUUAAAGUAGUGAGAGUCUAGGUAAGCCCAGGAAGCUAUGGGGGUCGGAGUGGUCUCUCUAGUCAUACUAAGUAGCUAUAUGAAUUAGGUUAAUUUCCUUCUCGAUUCAAUCUUUAAUUUCGUUUGAUUUUUGGUAGAAAGCCUAUGUCAUGGCAGUAAAAUCUCUCUUUUGGAAUAGAGCUUUAAGCCUUUAGCACAUAGCAAUAGCAGUAAAAUCAUCCUUUUGAUUUGAGCCCACUUCUAUACUGAUUGGAAUAGCCAAAAAUGCACCUUUCCCCGCUAUCACUUUCUAGAAUUCUUUCUGAUACAUGCUCCGAGAGGGUUAGCCCCGGCUAUCAAGAUGAGCUAAAUGGUCACACCAGUGUACUAUGCCAAAAGGAAAUUUUAAAGAUAUCGGGAUUGCUUCAUUGGCAGAAGCCAGAAGAGUUAAUUUAGCGAUUGCUUUUUGACAUGGUAAUUGGAAUCUUCCCUCUUACAAGGAGGCCUAGGAAACUAAGUUGUUUUCCAGGCUAAGGUAACAAAGUUAGACCGAGAUUCACGACGGAUUUCCUCUAUAAAAGAAGUAAUAGAAUAAGAUGCGAGAGAGCCAUGCCUUUAGAACAAGAAGGUUUUGAUUCUGGGGUCAGCUGAAAAAUGGAAGGGCGCGAUAGCGCACUACCGCUUUUCAGCCUCCGUUUGCUGGGAUCAGGAUUUUACACUAAACAAAAGAGAGUGCGAACAUUAUUAAAGUCUCAGACAAGCAAGUGUGGAACCCCAAUCACGAGGGGGAAAAUGACACCCAUUAAUGGAGGAAAUAGCCCUAUAUUAUAUUUAUUCUCUUACGAGAUUUGGAGGACAAAGAAUAGCAUGCUUCUCUUGCCUCUAGGAAGAAUAGAAGGAACCUAUUCUCUUACACAAUCAGCUGUGCACAAAGAAGUUCCUACUUAUAUUUAGAGUGACCCCGGCGAGAGACCCUCUUCAUCUAUUGCUCGGGAGAUACCACAGAACACUUAAGCGAGACCUUACCUCUUAUUGACUUGAACAAACUAACUCCCGUCUUUGGUGAUCUGUACCUCAAAACACACCUUAGACUAGCAAAUUGAAGUUUCAUUGAAUGAAUGAAAAUCAUAAUCUGAAUAAGAGUAUGAUACUAGACGACUAGAGAAGAGAGAGGCAGGAAAGCCAGAUCGGACUGCUUAGAGGAGAUAAGGGACUUAUCCUUCUAUUCUAAGAAACCAACCAAAAGGAAAUAGUUCACCUUGGCAGAGUGACCUGUGGAAAGAUCGAUCUCUGGAUCAUAUGAAAUGCAGUUCAGUGGAAUUCAUGUGAAAAUAGAAAUCUGAAAACAAAGAAAUCAGAGAAUGAAAUUGAAUUCAAUUAGCGAAGAUUGGUCUACUGGUUUACGAGAUUACUGUUUAGCAAACGAGCUGAGAACAAUCAGUCUCACCUACGAUCCUACGAUCUGCUCUAUAAGACACCUCAAUAAGGAAAAAAAAAGAAAGGAUGAGGCAACGUAGGCAGUUCCAUCCACAUCUAUUCAAUUCGUUAUUCCAUUCCGGCUGCUUUCAGUCGAAUCUUCGUUCUCGGUAGUUUCUUCCUAGCCCCCAGUUUGGCUCACUUCUCUUUCCUUCUUUUAUGCGGGCAUCAUGAGGCAGGAUUCGAGUCAACAAUUGACCCAGCAUCCUUGUCAUCACUUAAAGAGCCAAAGCCCGUGGACGGGGUGUAAGCCAUUGAUUUAUAACCAGUAGACCGGAAGGUGGGAGGCACUACCUUUUUAUGGUAAAUGGUAUGAAAUUGGCACCGGAAUUCCUUCUUAAGCUGCUGGUUAGGGUGCUCCCUAUAGAAAAGCACGCAGCGAGAAAGACAGUACCAUACGAGGUAGCAUAGAUCGGUAAGGCAAGAGGGGACGAGCGUGUCUCAGCACUUAGACAAGAUGGAGAAGAUUCUCAAAUAAUUUGUAGCAGUGAGAGUAAAAAUGACUGAUCGUGAUCAGUGACCGGAAAGUCUGCUGAAGUCGUUUGAGUCUUUGACAACCACUCUCUCCCUUUCAUCUCCUCUCUUGUGUCGAUUGUUCUGCUAGCUCCUCUUUGGACCGCCUUCAGAAAGGAAUCAGGUAAGUAAGCCUCCUACUAUUUAUCACCACUUCCAACUAACAAUACAGAAUUAAACCAGUUCCAUAACAAUUCCAGACUGCAAGAAAGCAAGAUACGAAAAUGAUAAAAUAACGAUCGGUUUGGGAGCGCCUGGGGGGAGGAAAGAGGGAAGGUGACCCAUGACGCCAGGGAUUUGUGCAUAUAUAUCCCACCCCAGCUUUGCGAAUGAGAGGGUCUGAUUCUGUGACUCUAGAAGAUAGAUCUAUCUCCUGCUUUGUAUCGGCUCGACUCCUCAACUCGGUCUCGAGCUCUCUAAUACGAUCCUGAAGUAUGGAUUUAAGAAACCUCGCCAUGAUGACUCAGCAAUCUACAAGCCCAUGGGUACUCUAUAAACAAGGAUGCCUACAAGCAUCUAUAAGCCAUCCAUACAAGAAGAGAAUACUUAAAGAAGUGUUGCGCCCCCGGAUAAUAGUAUCCAGGUCUCUCCUCAGCUCGGCAAUCCGUGAAGCAGCCUGACCUCCUCUGACCACGAGUGGCGUACUCUGAUAUGAACCCGUCCUUGAGGUAAUUGUAGAAAUCAUAAUACCAUGGUUCCCAUCAUCCUUGUAAUCUUCCUCGUCUUGACUGGUGAUAGUUCAUCAUGUUCCAACUCUCGAUAGUCUUCAUCCAAGAAGAUGAAUGAGUCCCGUUAGAUGGAAGGGCUCUCUGUGGCUGGGAUGUCCAAUCUCUCGAUGACAAGCAACUCUGUGCUUCGGUGUACUAGCAUGGGUACUAGAGUGGCUGAGUAUUUAUUCCAUAAGGGCUAGCGAAUCAGCCAAGCGAUUGUAGAUUCUCGAAA